UUCCCAUUUAGAGUCAGAGGACAGGGUAUUAUUGGAAGGUUUGUUUCAGUGUGCCACUCUGCCUCAGUCUCACACAAAGAACUCUUUGUGAGGUCGCAGAUUAGCAUUUGGGCAGGCAGCCAGGAGAGAUGAAAGGAGGGUGGCUACACUAAGGAUGUACAUAGCUUACACUCAUCAAAUACCCGGAGGAAAAAAAAGAGAAACAGUCCACAUCGUCUGUAAUUUCAGUUGCUAUACUCUAUCCCUCUAGUUUCUGAAAAAGCAUUUUUAGUGGAAGCUCUAUGAAUGCAUAGUUCUACUCUGACACUAAAUAUUGUUCAUGAAAGAGGCAGAUAUGGCCAUACCUUGACAGAAGAGGCACAUAUACAACCUGCCAU
RNAcentral lists this long non-coding RNA (377 nucleotides) under Gallus gallus (chicken). RNAcentral describes it as "long non-coding RNA NONGGAT003762". Lineage: Eukaryota; Metazoa; Chordata; Aves; Galliformes; Phasianidae. The record is from RNAcentral.